This is a non-coding RNA of Struthio camelus australis, 2096 nucleotides long. Lineage: Eukaryota; Metazoa; Chordata; Aves; Struthioniformes; Struthionidae. The record is from RefSeq and is a predicted model, not a curated record.
AGGCUAUUAGAUGACAAGCGAUUUUAUUUUGCAAAACAAUCACUAUACAGCAACAAAUACAAUUGCAAAUUGGAUUGAAAAACAUGAACUACCUACCACCAGCCAUUCAAGAAAUGCCUUUUAUGGUAACAGGCUCUAGAAUUAUCAGAAAAAAACACAGGUUUGUAACAGCAGACUGUAUUCCUCAAAAUCCCAGCAUACAGCAUGUUUUAUUUGUUGGCUUUUUCUCUUUGCUAAAGUUGAAGUGGCUUUUACGCUUGACUUUUCCACGUGGGAAACUAAUUUACCUUCCUGCAGUGGGAACCGCGUUCGCAGCCGCGCUAGUGAGGGAACGCUACACACACCCGGGCUAGAAUUCUGUCUGCUUCAGGUUUCACAGCCAAAGCGAGCUACUCUUCAAGGCGUUUGCCUGUGAAGGGACGUUUUCGUCCCCUAUUUGGUUUUCGAACCCUAUUUGGUCCAGCGCGGCAAAAACUUCUGCUCACGUGUGGUAUUCCACACAGGCUGCCUUCCGACUCCCUUUGGGUCGUGUGCAUUGGCAAAUUUGUAUUUGUAAGCAGUCGUGAUGAGGUUACUACUGUACCUUAACAUAGCAUUGAAUGGAUAAUACCAUUUACUGCUGUGCAGUGGAAGUAUACACAGCCCUAAUGAGCGCAAAAUUAUCCUCAUCAGCAUUAGUUUUACCUUUACUGUUGCUGGACACAGGUUUGCUCUACUUUGAUUUCUUUCUGCUUGUGGUUACACAGAAAUAGAACUCCGCAGCUGGGGCAGAAGCGCCUUUUCUUUUGUCUAUACAGUUUGACAGAUUAUUAAUUUGAGGCUCCCCCCCAAGCUAUCCAAACAGGGUUAACCGUUCCAUUUGUCUGGAUUAUCUCUGCAUUGUUACAAAGUCGGGUCUCAGAUACCCAACGUACCUGCUGGCUCAACACGCCUGCGGAAAAGAAACACUACGGAUGCAGUUUCCGGGAAGCUGGCUCCAUCCUUAGUGGGCAUUACAUAUUUACAAAACUGUUGUUUUCAAAACCAACACUCCUCUUGAGGAUUAAAGACUAAUAUGAGCUUUUUCAGGGAACAUCUAGAGUCAUGUAACAACUCGGUUUUUAUUUAACAGCACAAAACUCUUGAUUUUUUAUUUUCAUCUAACUUCACAGCAUUCUAGGAUUCUUUCUAUGGAAGGAUGAUUACGAUUACAAAGGUCUUGGCUUGAAUCAGGACAAGAAAGCUCAUUUUAAUGCAUGAAAUAAAUGACUUGGUGUGUCACACCAAUCUAACUUGGGACUCAUAGGCGUAUUAACUAAGCUUCAUCAUCUGUAUGUCAAUUUUAAAAGCAGAAUAAAAAUACUUGAGUCGCAAGUUAACACUGUUCUGACUAGCUGGUGUCCAGCUUCAGAGAAGCUGAGGUUCGGCAGUACCACAGACUCUCUCCCAUGUUGGCAAAAGGCAUAAAAAAACACUGCAAGGCCAAUUUUUGUUUGUUGAUGGUACGAUCAGAGCAACAUGAUAAAAAUAAUGUUUCGUCGUUUUUUCUUCCUGUAUUUUGUUUUUCUGGAACAAUGGGGAGGAGCUUUUAACGCACCUCACUUGGCAUUGUUUCCAUGUGAACUCUUAAGCAGUCACUCUGAGCUAGAGUACAACAAAUACAAGGCAGAAAUCAGAAUCCUCCAGAUGCACUUAGCGCGGUUCUAAACUCACUGUCCUUUGUAUAAAACAACCGACUUACAAGCAGUAUUAGGAACUUUAUAGUGUGAAAAAGCUUUUUGCAGAGCAGAAAUGUCAUGCGUGGGGCUGUUAGGAGUUCAUCCUCAGUAACGUUUUUGGAGUUUUAACCAUUUUGUUUUGUCUUUGUACUGCUGUGACAGCUUAGCUAAAAUUCCCCAUUCGGUCCACUGAAGAUCUAUUGUUUAUUAAUUGUGCAUUUCCUACCUGAAUUUGAUUAUGUGGAAUUCUGUGCUAUUAAUUACAAUAAUCCUUCUCCACAGACAUAAAAAUGUUCUCUGUGUGUCUUUUCAGAUCAAACCCCAACAUACACACGCACACAUACAAAUUAAGUAAAAAGAACAGAUCAAAAGCUUCCAACACACAAUGUUAACCUAAUA